RNAcentral lists this long non-coding RNA (1083 nucleotides) under Neogobius melanostomus (round goby). RNAcentral describes it as "lncRNA (ENSNMLG00000010335.1)". Lineage: Eukaryota; Metazoa; Chordata; Actinopteri; Gobiiformes; Gobiidae. The record is from RNAcentral.
CAGGGGGCAUCCUCGCCCUGACUGCUGGAGAUACCCCCACCUCUUAAACACACAGCCUUCUGAGCCGCACACACGCGCAACCCUUCUCCUGCCAGACUCCCAGGCCAGGCACCGUCGCCAUACGGAACAUCCUGCCCUCGACGGACGGAGAGGGGGAGGAGAAACAAGAGCGUGUGCGUAUUAUUGGGGGAAUAGACGCGGAGAGAGCAGGUUAUAGUGAAUCUAUCGGGUCCCGGAGCACAAGAAUUAGGAGUGAGGGGAGGGCCUGGCACAAGUCUCCUGGUUUGGGUGAACGGGAGCAGAAGCAGCGCGCGAUCUCUCCCGACACAGCGUGGAUUAAAACGAGCCGCCACGGAGGACGGACGGACCGACGGCCGCUCGCGCACUGGAGUUUUGGAGAGACUAUACCCCGGACACUGAGCUCAGCGGGCAGCGGCAUUAGCGGCGUUUGUCCUCCCCCCCUGCCCCGCACACCUCCCUGAACCUUGAGAAGGCAGCGGCGGGAGGCUCACCAUGAAGCUGCCUCGGCUACUCGCGUUGACGGCGCUACUCGUUCACGCCGCCACGGCGCAGACUUGGACGACCGGCGAUGACGAGGGUUCAACGAGAGAUGAGUUCUAUGAUGAUGAAGACCUGUACUCGGGCUCCGGCUCUGGAUUUCCUGAGAUCAGCGUGAGGCCGACCUCCGUGAGCGUGUCCUUCACCACAGAAGAGCCCCUAAUCCUGUCCACCACCCAGGCCACGAACCCCGCCCCCUCUGCCUCCCCCGCCGCCGAGCCCAGUCCCAAUCCAGACCCCACGGUCAUCAGCACCACGCUACAGCCCACCACGACGGAGGCCGACGGCGAGAGCGGAGUGUUCUGGGACCUGGAUAAGGAGGAGAAAGAGAAGGAGCGGCAGAAGGAGCUGGAGCGCCAGGCCGAACGGGAACGGGAGAGGGAGCGCGAGCGGGAACGUGUUCGUGAGCUGGAGAGAGAGAAGGAGAGGGAGCGGGAGAGAGAGCUGGAGCGACAGAGAGAGAGGGAGAGAGAGCGCGAGCUGGAGCGCAUCCGGGUCGCCGCACAGACGACCACUGCCCCAUAG